GCUCAAGAGCUGAAGAAGGACGUGCCAAGCUGCGAUAAGCCUACGGGACCCGCACGGAGGGGAAGAACGUAGGAUUUCCGAAUGGGAAUCCCCACCGCAAUUGCUUCGCGCAAUGGGGAACGUCGAGAAUUGAAACAUCUUAGUAUCGACAGGAAAAGAAAGCAACUCGCGAUGUCGGAUAUCUCGGGGUUCGACUUGGCGGAUGGCGUCGAAGAUCGCGUUAAUAUUCGAACUCGAGUC
RNAcentral lists this non-coding RNA (240 nucleotides) under Halostagnicola sp. A56. Its description in RNAcentral is "Archaeal large subunit ribosomal RNA". It matches the Rfam family "Archaeal large subunit ribosomal RNA", at positions 37 to 262 of the family's 2987-position model. The record is from Rfam by way of RNAcentral. Lineage: Archaea; Methanobacteriati; Methanobacteriota; Halobacteria; Halobacteriales; Natrialbaceae.